This is a long non-coding RNA of Hypanus sabinus (Atlantic stingray), 1448 nucleotides long. RefSeq lists it as uncharacterized. The record is from RefSeq and is a predicted model, not a curated record. The transcript is spliced from 2 exons. Lineage: Eukaryota; Metazoa; Chordata; Chondrichthyes; Myliobatiformes; Dasyatidae.
AUCCAGCCUGCUCCUUUCACGCUUUCCAUCCGUGCUGGGCUGAGUAUCGAACUAGCAACUCGGCCUCGUAAAAAGCAGACAAAAAAUGCCGCAGAAACGGCAAAGCUGCUGCGUCACAAGGCGCGGAAAGGAACAGCAUAUAUCGUGAAAGCUGUUGUUUUGUGGCAGGACAUAAAAAUUACUGUAAGUUGCCGAAGAAAUGAGUAAAUAGUGUGAAAGAGCAGCAGCAAGAUGGUGUUGAUGGGUUUAGGGAUCAUUCAGGAAUCUGAUGGCGGAGGGGAAGAAGCUGUCCCUAAAACUUGAGUGUGCAUCUUCAGGCUCCUGUACUUCCUCACUGAUGAUAGUAAUGAGAUGGGGGCAUAUCCUGCAUGGUGAGGGUCCUUAAUGAUGGAUCCCACCUCCUUGAGGCACCAGCUUUUGAAGGUGACCUUCCUGUGCGCACACUGGCCACCAUGCAUCCUAUAUCACAACAGAGCAAAAACGCUUAAAUAACCAAGUAAAUGCAGAUUGUUUUCUCAUCCCUUACUUAUUUUGCAACAAGUAAUGAUUGACUAAACUAACGUUUUCCUCCUAUUAAAAUUAAAAGGUAUUCAAUGGUGAAUAUUUAAUCAUCAGUGCUCACAGAUGGGGUAAUAUAAUUCCAGCAUGAUGCUCUGACAGUUAAGUUUUUAUUCACUCAGCCACUCAGAGGAAGGUGCCACUAGUUAAUCUGUAAUCUGGGAUUGUAACUGUAUACCUGUCACCCAACCAAAGACGGCAAAUGAGCAAACACACAUCACCUGAUAAGUGCAGAAAGAAAAGGCUGCGACGUCAGUGGAAGGGAUGACUUACAUGCCUAUUAUCUCGUUCAUGACCUCUGAAUGUCCCAAAGCUCCGUACUUUGUAAUAUACUGUGUGGUCACGAUUACCGUCUAGGAAAUGUGGAAGCUAUGUCCGCACAGUUGGAUCCCACGCGCUGUAAUGGGUUAAAUGAUCAGGAGAAACUCUCCACACCAGUGAGCACUGCAGCAUCUGGCAGCAAGCGCCCUCACCAUCCAGGCCAUGCUGUCUUCUCGCUGCUGCUAUUGGAAAGGAGGAACAGAAGCCUUAGAUCCCACACCACCAGUUUCAGGGGCAGUUAUUACCCCUCAACCAUCAGGCUCCUGAACUAGUGUGAUAACUGCACUCAACUCGACACUGAACUGAUCCUUGAGCACAACCUACAGAAUCACUUUUCAAGGACUCAAAACACAUGUUCUCAAUAUUAUUCAUUUAUUAUUACUUUCUUUUUGUAUUUGCACAGUUUGCCUUCUUUUGGACAUAGGUUGCUUUUCUGUGGUGUUUUUCAAUGAUUCUAUUGUAUUUCUUUGUCCUACUGGAACGUUUGCAAGAAAGUAGAUAUCAGAGUAACAUAUGGGUGCCAUAUAUGUUCCUGUGUACUUUGAUAAUAAAUUGCCUUUGAAAUUUGA